Molecule: long non-coding RNA, 340 nt
Filed under: Lathyrus oleraceus (garden pea)
Lineage: Eukaryota; Viridiplantae; Streptophyta; Magnoliopsida; Fabales; Fabaceae
Description: Pisum sativum (pea) long non-coding RNA (PSAT_LNC013048)
Source: RNAcentral
CACUCUCUGCUGAUAUAACUGACCAUGACAUCACGGCAGUUGAUCUCUUCUUUCUUUCAGUCGAAUUCAGCAUCAGUCAACUUGGGACUUUGAGGGUGCUAUUUCUCUUUUGUUUUUUUCUUUCUUUUUCUUUCUUUUGAUUUGCUUUUGAUUUGGAUUUCUUUUGAUUUUGCUUUCUUUUGAUUUCUUUUGAUUUUGCACCCUCUUCUUUUUUUUUUUUUUUGUUUCUUUUUUUUUUGAUGCCCCAGUUGGCUGUUCUGCUGAUUCUCGAGAUGCAGCUGAGUGAUCUUCUUUUCUUGCUCAAGAAGUCGGGAAAUACCGUCAGGAAUUCCUUCAACAU